This is a small nuclear RNA of Rattus norvegicus (Norway rat), 105 nucleotides long. Lineage: Eukaryota; Metazoa; Chordata; Mammalia; Rodentia; Muridae. The record is from Ensembl.
GUGUUUUCUUUGGCAGCACGUACUCUAAAAUUGGAACAAUACAGCGAAGAUUAGUGUGGCCCUGCGAAGGAUGACACGCACGUUUGGGAAGUGUUCUGUAGUUUC